AUUUAAAUAGUUUAUUAAAACAUUACAUUUUCAUUGUAAAAUAAAGAGAUUCUCUUUUUAAAUA
This 64-nucleotide transfer RNA is filed under the name Hystrichopsylla weida qinlingensis. Its description in RNAcentral is "tRNA-Glu". It matches the Rfam family "tRNA". From Rfam's summary of the family: Transfer RNA (tRNA) molecules are approximately 80 nucleotides in length. The record is from RNAcentral. Lineage: Eukaryota; Metazoa; Arthropoda; Insecta; Siphonaptera; Hystrichopsyllidae.